UUGGUUUUGUGGUGAUGUGGUAGUGAUCGCGACUGUGGACUUUCCUGGACUAUCAGAGGGUUUUGCUGGAGGGUAUACAGCGGUGUGACAAGCCAACAGCUGGAGCAGGAAGAUCCUUCUUGGCGUAGAGGGCAGGGUGGUUAGGCAACUCUCUCAAAGGCCCCCGUGGGGGUGGGUUUAUCCCAGCACAGCCAAUGCCUUCUGUCUCAAGGCCAGAGGCUUCUACGAGCUGCUUCCGGUGAUGGUGUCGCGGCUUAGCUCGUGUCAGCAGCCUACUUGGGGCCGAGGUUACUCCCGGACGAAAUGAGGGUGGCCAAAAUGCAGGUGAACACCAGUAUAGGGUGUCUUGGGUGCAACACAACCUCUACGUGGCAACAGACUUCACGGAGAUGCUGCCCCAGACCAGAGGGUUCACCAGGGCACGUAAUCCCUCACGCAACGUCUGCAGGGAGAUCAGGCUUCUGGCUUUUCCAGACUACACUCUCAGGGAGUCCGGAUCUUUCACCGCACGGGGUCGCCCGAGAAAAGGGAAAUCACUGCUGGAGUUCGAUCCUCGAGCACCGCAAAACCCACAAGGGAAGGAAAGGUCCAAGAUUCUAGUCAAAGUGGAGCUUUGACGGGCUUCAGAAUUUUCCCGCAGGGUGCGAAAUUCUUGCAGAAACCCAUCGUACCUCUCCAUCCUGUCCGUGAGCCACUCCUUCAAUCCGUCCAAUAUCUGGCUGGUCU
Phlebotomus papatasi is the source of this 726-nucleotide long non-coding RNA. RefSeq lists it as uncharacterized. The transcript is spliced from 3 exons. The record is from RefSeq and is a predicted model, not a curated record. Lineage: Eukaryota; Metazoa; Arthropoda; Insecta; Diptera; Psychodidae.